Molecule: unclassified non-coding RNA, 329 nt
Filed under: soil metagenome
Description: partial contains 5.8S ribosomal RNA, internal transcribed spacer 2, and large subunit ribosomal RNA
Rfam family: 5.8S ribosomal RNA (bases 1-120)
Source: RNAcentral
GAUGAAGAACGCAGCAAAAUGCGAUAAGUAAUGUGAAUUGCAGAAUUCAGUGAAUCAUCGAAUCUUUGAACGCACAUUGCGCCCCCUGGCAUUCCGGGGGGCAUGCCUGUUCGAGCGUCAUUACAACCCUCAAGCUCUGCUUGGUAUUGGGCUCUGCCGGUCCCGGCAGGCCUUAAAAUCAGUGGCGGCGCCACUCGGCUUCAAGCGUAGUAAUUCUUCUCGCUUCGGAGACCCGGGUGCGUGCUAGCCAGCAACCCCCAACUUUCUCAGGUUGACCUCGGAUCAGGUAGGGAUACCCGCUGAACUUAAGCAUAUCAAUAAGCGGAGGA